RNAcentral lists this long non-coding RNA (886 nucleotides) under Cyanistes caeruleus (blue tit). RNAcentral's name for it is "lncRNA (ENSCCEG00000006047.1)". The record is from RNAcentral. Lineage: Eukaryota; Metazoa; Chordata; Aves; Passeriformes; Paridae.
GUUUUAAAUUUUUAGAUAAAAUUAUGUUGUUGUUUUGUUCAUGAAUUUGGGUUUUUUUUAACUUCAUCAUACACAAUUAAAUAAGAAGUGACUUACCUGAGAAAUGUGAUUUUAAGUCUUUCCUAAAGAUCAAUCCUUAAAGACAUGAGAGAGAAUGCAAACCUGAGUGAAGCUUAAUUAAAUUUCAUUAUAAUUAAUUGGUGCUUAUUUUGUAAUCACAGCAGUUCUUACUUCUUCAAAAUGAACAUCUUUUCCUCCUGAGGAAUUCAGCCUGUUCAAACAGCACCAAUGUUAUUUCCCAGUUCGUGAAAAUUGAAAAGAUAAGAGAGUUUUAUAGUAGAAACACUGCAGCUCAAUCAGUGCUACUGGCCCUACACCAAGAAAUGAUUUGUUCUUUUGAAUGUCAGACUGGUUGGACAUGCUUUACCUGUUCUAUUAUGCAAGAAAAUCCACCGGCAACAGAGAGAGUUCAAGGCAAAAUAAGAGCAUAUGCAGUGAGAAACUCCAGUACAGAUACUAGAGAUAUGUUUUUUAUUAAGCUUAUAAGGGUAUACCAACAGCUGCAUGUCACAUAGAAAUAUAAAGAAAAUUUAAUCCCAGGAACAAUAUGGAGGUAUUAACUGGGAGGAAGUCAAUUUAUACAACCUUUGUGACAUCAGGAGCUUUACAGGAUGUGACUUCUUAUUUCUGUAGGCCUCCUAUUGGAAGUUUGAGGAGAGGUUCUGUAUAGAAAAGAACUUUUAUAUUUGAAAUUCUGGAUGAAAUAUGAAAUAAUGUCCUGUCGCACUGGGGCUUUCUAUUUAACGUCUCCCUGAACUUGUUCUUUCUGUGUAUGAAAGCCUUGAAGCUUAAUAAAUAAAUUCAACACAUUCUUCUAUAUGAAAAG